Molecule: long non-coding RNA, 395 nt
Organism: Hipposideros armiger (great roundleaf bat)
Lineage: Eukaryota; Metazoa; Chordata; Mammalia; Chiroptera; Hipposideridae
Exons: 3
Source: RefSeq, a predicted model, not a curated record
GCAGCCUCUGCAACCUCUAACCUACUGCCUUUCCUUUAUCCAUCAAGCAACAAGGACUUAUCAUGCCCUCGGUUCCAGGGCCUCCACUAUGUUAAAAAGGCAUUAACUGAGUCAGGGAUCAUACCAAGGAUCUAAAGAAACAAAACACAUAGAUCCUGCGAGUGAGGAACUCACAGGCUGAUGAGAGAAAUACCUGCAUGAACAAAUGUUCCUACUACAUCACAACUUGGCUGCCCUCCAGCUCCAUUCAGCACUGGCUACACAACAUCCUGUCAGGUCUGAGUACGGUAAAGGAGGGGCCCUGAGACCAGUCUGGGAGCCAGUUUUCUUCACAGCUCUGCCUCUGAAGAGCAGCAAGUUCUUGGGCGAGUCGCUUAAUGCGAAAGGCUCCAUUU